GAAAUGCGAUAAUUAAUGUGAAUUGCAGAAUUCAGUGAAUCAUCGAGUCUUUGAACGCACAUUGCGCCCCCUGGUAUUCCGGGGGGCAUGCCUGUCCGAGCGUCAUUGCUGCCCUCAAGCACGGCUUGUGUGUUGGGCUUCCGUCCCUGGCAACGGGGACGGGCCCAAAAGGCAGUGGCGGCACCAUGUCUGGUCCUCGAGCGUAUGGGGCUUUGUCACCCGCUCCCGUAGGUCCAGCUGGCAGCUAGCCUCGCAACCAAUCUUUUUAACCAGGUUGACCUCGGAUCAGGUAGGGAUACCCGCUGAACUAAGC
RNAcentral lists this unclassified non-coding RNA (313 nucleotides) under plant metagenome. Its description in RNAcentral is "partial contains 5.8S ribosomal RNA, internal transcribed spacer 2, and large subunit ribosomal RNA". The stretch from base 1 to 105 matches the Rfam family "5.8S ribosomal RNA", at positions 50 to 154 of the family's 154-position model. The record is from RNAcentral.